Harpia harpyja (harpy eagle) is the source of this 3768-nucleotide long non-coding RNA. RefSeq lists it as uncharacterized. Lineage: Eukaryota; Metazoa; Chordata; Aves; Accipitriformes; Accipitridae. The transcript has 3 exons. The record is from RefSeq and is a predicted model, not a curated record.
CGCCGCGCCGCCUCCGGCGCCGGGAGCCCCCCGCUCGUCAGCCCCGGCACCGCAGAGCGCUCCCGCUCCCGCCCCCGCCCGCCGGGCGGGGCGGCCGCGCAGCGCCGCGCACAGUAACAGUUUUGCCGGGUAAAGCGCGGGAUCUUACUUUGCUGAGAGGGGAAACAUUGCUGACGCGUAUAGCAAGCGGCCCUGCAGACGUUCACCGGAGAGAGAGACUAGAACAUGGAGAAUGCUCCAUCAGCCUCAUUGUGGCAGCUGAAGCUCAUUUCCUCAGUGGGAAUGCAAGACUCCAUGAACAACCAUCACUGACACAUUCCCAAGAGUCACAGCUCCAUCAGUGUGAGAUCUUGUUCUCCAAAUUCUUGUCUUCACAAUUCCCUUUACAUCUCCACCUGCUCAGCCUUUUCAUGUGAACCCGAGACCAAAUGCCCUCUGCAGUGUUGGAAUGAAACAGAAGAGCUCACCUGCCUCUGAAAUGGCCUAAGAGUGGAAGACGCUUUCUUUGCCCAAUAAGGUCUCCAAGAUAGGGGCAGAGCACCAGUUGUUGGAGCCAACACCACCCGAGAAACUGCUUGUGACCAACUAGUUACUUGUCUGAAGAACUUCAGCAAGAACUCCUGUUUCCUCCUCCCCUCAUUCCAGCUACAUUUUUCCUUUCCUUCUCUAUGCCUCCAUAUUUUCCUCAAAGUCUAGACUGUCAUUCACACCUUCCUAAUGGUCUGCAGAAUUAAUUCUGUCCUCUUUGGCAAGACAACUUGGCAAAGUUAAUGACUUUGAUACAGUGGUUCUCAGAGAUUUAUUUUAAUAAGUUUUUACUAAUCCUCUUGUUCUUCACAAAAAUUUAAUUUCAAAACAUUGAAUGCAUCUUCCAAGUUUGGGAUAUUUACAUAUUUGUGUACAUUUCCAGACUCUGAUAUGAGUAUUAUACAUUUGUCAUAGCUGCUAAAUAUUGAUGUCCUUAUCUUGAAAGUCCAACCUCAUCCAACUUCACAUAGUAACAGGGUUAUUCUAACACUUGUGAUUUCUGGGCCUCUUAUCCUAUCUAAAAUAGCACAAAACAUAAGAUUGCACUUGGACUUUAACAUCCUCUAAACCAGAACAGAGGCCACCAUGACAUUUCAGAUUAAGUAUUACUUUCUUAUUUUCUUACAAUGAAGAAGAUAUGCAAUAAUUUUUGCAAUUUCUUUUUGCUAACUUUUGGACUAUUUGUACCUUUAUUAAAGCAUUUUGUGACUAAUAGGAGAGAAAUAUUAGAUGGAUUUUGAUCCCUCCCUCUCCCUAUAUCACUGUUUAUUGACUAAAAUAAAGUGCGAGGAUCAGCUUCAGCUUGUUCAAACUUCAAUUAAGUUCAGGUAAAACAUUGAGUUCAAGGUACUAACAGCUAAAGGCCAAAUUUACAAAGUUUUUAGGUGCUUAAAGAGGAGGUAGGAAAGGUACAGGAUUUUCAGAAAUGUUUAAUUCCCUUGUGUAAUUUUGCCUCCUGGGGGUCACCUCAUCUUUUGCUGUAAAUCCCACUGGAUGUAUGAGAAGGUGUUCUCACUUCCUCCUCCCCUGUGCAUGAGGGAAAUGAUUUACAGCCAUCAGGAUGCUCUUUCUCCUACUAGAUCUUAAUAUGUCCCCAAUUCCCCCACAUAAUCAUUCCCUCAUCUUUACUUAUCCAGCCCAUUUUAACAAAGAUGAGCAAGGCGGGCUGCUCGUGGGAGCGCCUUUCAGGGCAAGCCUGAAGAACGUGAAGUUCAGCAGACAUCAGGAAUGAGGAAUUAGGGGCAGUAACCUCUUCAACCAUCCCUCAGCAACAGCUGAAGGAGGAUGCAGUCAGACUCUAAACACUUCAGAAGUCUGGCCCCUGAGUUGUAUGUGAUCUGGGCCCUUAUUCUCCAAUAUAAUAAUGUCACUAUAAAAGCAGCCUUACCAUAAGUAGCACAUGAAGCAUUUUCAAUGAGGAUAAAAGAAGCAUGUGAAAAAUUUUGGGAAGAGUUAACUGAAAAAAAUAAAAUUUUGUGAAAUAUUAAUUUGGUCAAACUCUUUCCUCAAGUGAGAAUACAAGCUAAUGACCUGCUGAUUGAUAUCAAUUUCAUCUUUGAUAUACUUUUAGAUUAUGAAAGUGUGGUACAUAAGGUUGGAAAUUAAUUUCACAGCUAGCUGUGCCUCCAUUUCCAUAGCUUAAUUGGGCAAUAUGGUACUAUGGAUCUUAUCACUAGCAGAAAUUUAUUCAAAUUAAUAUUUUCACUGACUACAGUUUGAACUGCAGGAAAACAGCUUUUAUAUGCAUACUUUGGCCCAAACACUUCAAUACAAUGAUAUACAUAGCUGUCGCAAGUAUUCCAAGUACAACUCAUGCUAAGGUAAGUGCAUGCUUUUUUUUUUUUUUUUUUUUUUUAACUUUUUAAAAAAUGAACUUGGAAUCAAUGCUCUAGUCCUAUAAGCACAAGCUUGUGUUCUCCAGAGCUGAUCUAGCAAAACACUUAAAACCUAUACUAAUAUAGGACCGGUAAUAUGCUUAACAUUAAGCUCUGAUUUAGUGAAAUGCUUUUAGCACUUGCUCAAGUGUAUUUUGUAAGAUAAGCAUAGUGAAGUAUUAAACUCUCACCACACAUUUUUCCAGGACUGUGGUCAAUGUUUGCCUCCAGCCAUAGCAUGACCUGGUUACUUAUGUGUUUGAAAGCUCCUGAAUAGACAAAAAGUCCAGCUCUCUGCUGGUGUAAUUGCACUGAUGGCACUGGAGUUACAACAUAGCUUCCAGCCCAUGGCUUUAAACACUGCCCAACACACACGUUUUGUAAGGUCGCACUGGAUCUAUAUAUUAUUGCUGUCACUGCAGGUGUUGUGGACUCAGAUUAGAUGAACGUUUAAGAACUUCGAUGUGGGUUUAGGUGGGCUUUCAAUGCUGAAAAGAAAACAAAAUUAAAAAAAAAAAAAAUAGCUGCCCAGACUUGCUUUGUAUAUUUAAUUUCUACCUAGAAUAAAUUAUGAUCCACCAACUUAUCUGUAGUUUAUUUGGCUUUGGGAACUAAUGAUUUUUAGAUGCACAUGGAAUUACUUUUUUUUAGAGAAGAAGAAUACAUUUUUCUUAGCAGUUUUAUUUAUAUGCUGUUAAGCCAACAAUCCAUUCUGUUUCCUUAAAAUCUUAAGGAAGUUGUUGCAGCAACUGUUAUGUAGCAGUUGAAUUUGCUAAAAGAUAAAUGUAAUAAUUCCAACUCUGGUCUAAACAUAAAAUUCAUACUAAUGUUGUGGGGGUUUUUCUCCCUUAUAUGCUUUGUGAUUUGUCUCAUGACAAUCCAUUCCAUAUUUCCCUCAUUAUUAUUCUCACAUUUUAUACAGCCUGGGUAUAUUGAAAUUCCCAUGUCCCAUUUCUAACUAUAUUUUCUCUUAUUUCCCAAUUAUAUUAUGUAUGGUAAAUUAGUAAGGACUAACGUAAACAGGAAGGUAUUAUUUUAUUUGAAGAGUGCUGUUCUGAUUCACCAAACAUUGUUUAUAACAUCAGCAAGGCUUCAUCUGUAAUACAGAACAGUAUGUAACUCAGUGUUGUUGUUUAUUAUUGAAUGUGCAAUUGAUGUAUUUCACAAAGGCAUCAGUAAUGAAGCAGACUGGAGAGACAACAACACCCAAGAUGCAUUGGCCCAAGACCUAUCAUCUUGCAGUAGAGCUUUCCUUUCAGAAAUAUAAAUACUGCGAUAAAACUGUGCGCCGUAUAAAUUCCUUCAUAAAGCUGUCUCUCCAUUGCCCAAAUUCAGGUGGUUACAUAAGUACGUGAAUCACGUUAAG